RNAcentral lists this ribosomal RNA (489 nucleotides) under Actias ningpoana (Indian moon moth). Its description in RNAcentral is "Actias selene ningpoana (Indian moon moth) partial 16S ribosomal RNA". The stretch from base 1 to 163 matches the Rfam family "Archaeal large subunit ribosomal RNA", at positions 1890 to 2097 of the family's 2987-position model. Lineage: Eukaryota; Metazoa; Arthropoda; Insecta; Lepidoptera; Saturniidae. The record is from RNAcentral.
GCCUGUUUAUCAAAAACAUGUCUUUUUGUGAAUAAUUUAAAGUCUAAUCUGCCCCCUGAUAAUUUAUUAAAGGGCUGCAGUAUUUUGACUGUACAAAGGUAGCAUAAUCAUUAGUCUCUUAAUUGGUGACUUGUAUGAAGGAUUGAAUGAGAUAUAAACUGUCUUAAAGUUAAAAUAAAUUGAAUUUAAUUUUUUAAUUAAAAAGUUAAAAUAAAUUAAAAAGACGAGAAGACCCUAUAGAGUUUUAUAUUAAUUUAAAUUUAAUUUAUUUAUAAAUUUAAUAAGUAUAAAUUUAUUUUAUUAUUUUGUUGGGGUGAUAAAAAAAUAAAAAAAACUUUUUUUAAAAAUAUACAUAAAUAAGUGAUUUUUUGAUCCAAUUUUAUUGAUUAUAAGAAAAAAUUCCCUUAAGGAUAACAGCGUAAUUUUUUUUUUUAGUUCUUAUAAGAAGGUAAAUUUGCGACCUCGAUGUUGGAUUAAGAUAAAAUUUAA